Non-coding RNA from Ciona intestinalis (vase tunicate), 1205 nucleotides. Lineage: Eukaryota; Metazoa; Chordata; Ascidiacea; Phlebobranchia; Cionidae. The record is from RefSeq and is a predicted model, not a curated record.
UGUAUGCUGCGAUGAUCCAGGGACCAUGUAUGUUGGUUCAUAUGAGUAAUUGAUAACUCUAAAUCCCCCUGUGAAUGUGACCAUACGUGUUGUGCUGUUUCCCACCAAACCAUGUCUGUGUAUUACAGGCUCAGUUCCUGUACAUAAAUUGUAAUGUUGGGGAAUAUAAUGGCAUGCAUGUGUAACAACAGCUUCACUUUAUAAGCUGUUGUUUGGUUGUGCUGCCUAAAUUUAUGAUUCCAUUUAUGAGAAAUAUAGGCUCGUACACUAUGGAAAAAGCAGAACUGUUCCUGAUGCGAAUAAAAUGUGUCGACACUCGGUGUCAGUAAAGGAUAAGUCGCUGCCAACAUCCAAAGUAUCGCGCAAUCUGUUUCCAUUUGCAUCAAUCCAGCCAACAUAUACAUCAGUGUUUGGCAUGAAACGGUCAUCACUGAUGCCAAUCCCAAGCCAUCCUUGUGUCCUAGACUGAAAAACAUUGUUACAGCAAUUUUCAACUGCAUUUCAUAUGUUAAGAUCAUUGCACCUAACACCCCCAUGCCCCCAGUUGACUAGCCAAAGUACUACUAUUGGUAAAACGACAGACAUGAUAUUAACUUUGACUAGUGAAGUUACCUCUUUUAGAACUGUGCAAGCUUCAAUCCCUGAUGCGGGUGUGUGGACAUAUUGGCCGACCUCCUGGCCUUUGGCCCAAAUAAAAUGCAUCGGCUCAAACAGAAUAGAGUGAUCGGUAAAAUGAGUGGCUAAAAUAAAUUCAAAACAGUAUUUAAUAUGAUUUGAUUUUGUGGUGGUAGCACUUCGGUAUUGGCUCUAUUUAUUAACCUUUUGGAGAAUUUAUUUUGACAGUCCUCAUUUCAGUUGUUUGAUCACAAUAGCCACUCACCCACAGCUUUCUUCCUCACAAUGACAGUUGUCCAUCCAUCCACUUGUGAUCCAGCAGCAGCUAUAAUAUCAUCACGCCCACCAUAAACCUUAUCCCUUCUUGGUGUAGAUCUAUCUCUUGUAUAAGAGUCCUCAACUCUCAACCCUAUAAUGAUGUCUGUACAAUCCAUUGGGUGUAAUCUUAGUGUUUGAGAACUUCCACCAAACCCGGAUGGUUCUGGUUCACCAGAUGGUUCCGGUUCACUAGAUGGUUCUGGUUCACCAGAUGGUUCUGGUCCACCAGAUGGUUCUGGUUCAACAGAUGGUUCUGGUCCACCAGAUGGUUC